Long non-coding RNA from Ostrinia nubilalis (European corn borer), 453 nucleotides. RefSeq lists it as uncharacterized. The record is from RefSeq and is a predicted model, not a curated record. The transcript is spliced from 2 exons. NCBI's taxonomy places the organism in Eukaryota, Metazoa, Arthropoda, Insecta, Lepidoptera, Crambidae.
UUUUUCAUGAUUACCUAGCAUUACACAUAUAUCAUAGACUAAGUGGAACUAAAUUAUAUGUUAAAAGUGUUACAAAUUAGUGAUUUUUUUUUGGGGUUAUUAAAAUAAACCCUAUGUAGUCAACAAUGAAACAGUUGCAUGAUGGACACAAUGAAACAAUGUUUCAUUGUGUACCAUCUUGUUUGAUUGUAUAAUACCAUAUACCAAACAAAAUCUACUGUCCGUGCAAAUAAUCAUUUUUAAGGCUAUAAAUUACUAGGUUAUCCUAAAAUUUGAUGUUUAUUUUUCAUUUAAGAUGGCGCGAACUAAAUCUCUAAAGAGGAAGAAAGGUGAUCAUUUAGGAGAUAAUAUAAAAAAAUAUAAUAGUAAAUAGUAAGGAGUUAUCUUAACUAGUUAUAGGUAAUCUGAUGAGUCUGAUUAAAUUUCAAUUAUUAAUAAAACCUUUUGAUUGAA